Molecule: non-coding RNA, 219 nt
Organism: Pelobates cultripes (western spadefoot toad)
Lineage: Eukaryota; Metazoa; Chordata; Amphibia; Anura; Pelobatidae
Source: the annotation of a GenBank genome assembly
AGCCAAUAAAAUAACCACACUUUUAUUGAAAGUAACACACCAAAAUUGGACAGAAAAUAACUUUUUUUUUUUUUUUUAAAUCUGUUUGUUAUAUAGGACUGAAGAAUAACAUAUUGUUGAUACUAAUUUAAUAUCAAUAAACGUAUUUCCAGUUUAUUUGAAAACUGUACAAAACAACAGUGCAAGAAACUGCUAUAAAACCAACCUUAAACUGUAAAC